This 253-nucleotide ribosomal RNA is filed under the name uncultured bacterium. RNAcentral's name for it is "partial 16S ribosomal RNA". It matches the Rfam family "Bacterial small subunit ribosomal RNA", at positions 524 to 776 of the family's 1533-position model. The record is from RNAcentral. RNAcentral also lists the same sequence under 1 other name.
UACGUAGGGGGCAAGCGUUGUCCGGAAUCAUUGGGCGUAAAGAGCGCGUAGGCGGUCCGGUAAGUCGGUUGUGAAAACUGGGGGCUCAACCCUCAGAGGCCGACCGAUACUGUCGGGCUAGAGUCCGGAAGAGGCGAGUGGAAUUCCUGGUGUAGCGGUGAAAUGCGCAGAUAUCAGGAGGAACACCAAUGGCGAAGGCAGCUCGCUGGGACGGUACUGACGCUGAGGCGCGAAAGCGUGGGGAGCAAACAGG